AGUGAACGCUGGCGGCAGGCCUAACACAUGCAAGUCGAGCGGCAGCGCGGGGCAACCUGGCGGCGAGCGGCGGACGGGUGAGGAAUGCGUCGGAAUCUGCCUUUUGUGGGGGAUAACGUAGGGAAACUUACGCUAAUACCGCAUACGACCUACGGGUGAAAGUGGGGGACCGCAAGGCCUCACGCAGAAAGAUGAGCCGACGCCCGAUUAGCUAGUUGGUGAGGUAAAGGCUCACCAAGGCGACGAUCGGUAGCUGGUCUGAGAGGAUGAUCAGCCACACUGGGACUGAGACACGGCCCAGACUCCUACGGGAGGCAGCAGUGGGGAAUAUUGCACAAUGGGCGAAAGCCUGAUGCAGCAACGCCGCGUGAGGGAUGAAGGCCUUCGGGUUGUAAACCUCUUUUAGCAGGGAAGAAGCGAAAGUGACGGUACCUGCAGAAAAAGCACCGGCUAACUACGUG
Molecule: ribosomal RNA, 461 nt
Filed under: uncultured bacterium
Lineage: Bacteria
Description: bacterial SSU rRNA
Rfam family: Bacterial small subunit ribosomal RNA
Source: RNAcentral